CGGUGGAGCAUGUGGUUUAAUUCGAAGCAACGCGAAGAACCUUACCAGGUCUUGACAUCCCGAUGCUAUUUCUAGAGAUAGAAAGUUACUUCGGUACAUCGGUGACAGGUGGUGCAUGGUUGUCGUCAGCUCGUGUCGUGAGAUGUUGGGUUAAGUCCCGCAACGAGCGCAACCCUUGUCAUUAGUUGCUACAUUCAGUUGGGCACUCUAAUGAGACUGCCGGUGACAAACCGGAGGAAGGUGGGGAUGACGUCAAGUCCUCAUGGCCCUUAUAGGUGGGGCUACACACGUCAUACAAUGGAUGGUACAAAGGGUCGCCAACCCGCGAGGGGGAGCCAAUCCCAUAAAGCCAUUCGUAGUCCGGAUCGCAGUCUGCAACUCGACUGCGUGAAGUCGGAAUCGCUAGUAAUCGUGGAUCAGAAUGUCACGGUGAAUACGUUCCCGGGUCUU
This 450-nucleotide ribosomal RNA is filed under the name uncultured Polaromonas sp. Its description in RNAcentral is "bacterial SSU rRNA". It matches the Rfam family "Bacterial small subunit ribosomal RNA", at positions 930 to 1382 of the family's 1533-position model. The record is from RNAcentral. Lineage: Bacteria; Pseudomonadati; Pseudomonadota; Betaproteobacteria; Burkholderiales; Comamonadaceae.